This 253-nucleotide ribosomal RNA is filed under the name uncultured bacterium. Its description in RNAcentral is "partial 16S ribosomal RNA". It matches the Rfam family "Bacterial small subunit ribosomal RNA", at positions 524 to 776 of the family's 1533-position model. The record is from RNAcentral.
UACGGAGGAUGCGAGCGUUAUCCGGAUUUAUUGGGUUUAAAGGGUGCGUAGGUGGUGAUUUAAGUCAGCGGUGAAAGUUUGUGGCUCAACCAUAAAAUUGCCGUUGAAACUGGGUUACUUGAGUGUGUUUGAGGUAGGCGGAAUGCGUGGUGUAGCGGUGAAAUGCAUAGAUAUCACGCAGAACUCCGAUUGCGAAGGCAGCUUACUAAACCACAACUGACACUGAAGCACGAAAGCGUGGGGAUCAAACAGG